AAUAUUAUAAAAACGGCAUUUUUACUGACCUUUGAAAAUAGAAAUAGAAAAUAGUAACAUUAUAGGCUAAUAUUACUUGUAGUGAGAUAACUGGAAAACUAUAGGCCCGUGUUGUAUGUGACCUUGAUGUUAGCUUCCAGCUCCUGUAGUUUUUAGAUGAUUGGCAUGCCUUGUCUGCUGUUAGCUUGUGGAUAUGUGGACUUUUUUCUUAAGGUUAAUUCAGGGUGCUGAUCUUUGUUUUUAGAGAGCAUGUGUGUCUUGUGUGUGGGGUGCUACCAUGAUGCUCUCAGUACUUUCCUUGAUUAAUGUUAUAAAAGUGGCAUUUUUAAUACUUCACUGACAUCUGUUUUUCACCUCACAGAUUUACGGCUAUUGACCAUUUCUUGAUCGAUAAACGCUACUUCACUUCAGUGACUUGAAUCCAGUUCUUCGUUGACCUUCAAUAUCCAGUUGUUUGUCUUCACCUUUUCAGGUUCCCUGUGUCCAGCAUCUUCAAGACAGACUAAGCUAACUUUUCAUAUUUUUUUCACAUUUACUAUUUAGGUUUAGACAGUACUGUUAGGUUUGGAGUAGGUUAUAUUUAGAGUAGAGUAUUUAGUUUGUAUAGUUUAGCUUUUUAUGCUAGUCUAGGGACAGUUAAGUCAGCGAAUCAAUUCAGUUGAAAUCUUUAAAAGUUGCAUAUUCUCGUUACAAUUGUGAUAUUUUGUGAGCUUUUGUUGUACAGGCUAUUCUAUAUUGCAGGACCACGUGAGACGAGGAAGACCACUGCAGGCCCACGUGUGACCAAGAAGGCCAGGGUAAUAUUUACUGCGUUGUAAAUACAUCUCCAAAUUGUUUCCAAGAUGCCAAGGAAGGGCAAGCGAUCCCGUGCUCAGAAAGUGCGUUGGACAACAGUCAACCUUGCAGAUCCUGCCCCACUCAGCCCAACCACGUCUGACCAUUGGGCACAGAUGGUACCGCAAACACCUCCAUCAACCAGCCAGCUAUGGAAAAUGGAGAAUGCACCCACCCCAACUAAUUCUCCAGCCUACAAGGUUCUGAAAAUACAGACACCGCCCCAGUCAAAGUACCGCUGGAUGACCUCUGAAGAACGGGGGCUGGAUGCACCCACCUGCCCCCGUUCACCAGCUGAAAAGGUAGCAUUGAAUUAAA
Larimichthys crocea (large yellow croaker) is the source of this 1152-nucleotide long non-coding RNA. RefSeq lists it as uncharacterized. The transcript has 4 exons. Lineage: Eukaryota; Metazoa; Chordata; Actinopteri; Sciaenidae. The record is from RefSeq and is a predicted model, not a curated record.